RNAcentral lists this transfer RNA (74 nucleotides) under Candidatus Omnitrophota bacterium. RNAcentral's name for it is "Candidatus Omnitrophica bacterium (sediment metagenome) tRNA-Gly". It matches the Rfam family "tRNA". From Rfam's summary of the family: Transfer RNA (tRNA) molecules are approximately 80 nucleotides in length. Their secondary structure includes four short double-helical elements and three loops (D, anti-codon, and T loops). Lineage: Bacteria; Pseudomonadati; Candidatus Omnitrophota. The record is from RNAcentral.
GCGAGAGUAAUUCAGUGGCAGAAUGCCAGCUUCCCAAGCUAGCUACACGGGUUCGAUUCCCGUCUCUCGCUCCA